This 72-nucleotide transfer RNA is filed under the name Fukomys damarensis (Damara mole-rat). It matches the Rfam family "tRNA". From Rfam's summary of the family: Transfer RNA (tRNA) molecules are approximately 80 nucleotides in length. Their secondary structure includes four short double-helical elements and three loops (D, anti-codon, and T loops). Lineage: Eukaryota; Metazoa; Chordata; Mammalia; Rodentia; Bathyergidae. The record is from Rfam by way of RNAcentral.
UGGGAUAUAGCUCAGUGGGAGAGUACUUGCCUAGCAUGUGUGAGGCACUGGGUUCAAUCCCCGGUACCACAA